UACGAAGGGGGCUAGCGUUGCUCGGAAUCACUGGGCGUAAAGGGUGCGUAGGCGGCCCUUUAAGUCAGGGGUGAAAUCCUGGAGCUCAACUCCAGAACUGCCUUUGAUACUGAAGAUCUUGAGUGCGGGAGAGGUGAGUGGAACUGCGAGUGUAGAGGUGAAAUUCGUAGAUAUUCGCAAGAACACCAGUGGCGAAGGCGGCUCACUGGCCCGAUACUGACGCUGAGGCACGAAAGCGUGGGGAGCAAACAGG
RNAcentral lists this ribosomal RNA (253 nucleotides) under uncultured bacterium. Its description in RNAcentral is "partial 16S ribosomal RNA". It matches the Rfam family "Bacterial small subunit ribosomal RNA", at positions 524 to 776 of the family's 1533-position model. The record is from RNAcentral.